UCCCUGGUGGCUCAGACGAUAAAGCAUCUGCCUACAAUGCAGGAGACCUGGGUUCAAUUCCUAGGUUGGGAA
RNAcentral lists this transfer RNA (72 nucleotides) under Ovis aries (sheep). It matches the Rfam family "tRNA". Rfam says of the family: Transfer RNA (tRNA) molecules are approximately 80 nucleotides in length. The record is from Rfam by way of RNAcentral. Lineage: Eukaryota; Metazoa; Chordata; Mammalia; Artiodactyla; Bovidae.